GUGUUUCCUGUGCUGGCUUUCAGGGGCUGUGCAGUGCUGGAGGACUAGAGCUGCAAUGCAGUAACUGGUAACUCCCGCUCCCUGCAAGGCUGGAGGGAAUUCUUUCCUGCUCUAGUAAGCAGCUGGAGUGAUAAUUCUGUGAUUGGGGGGUGCAAGACCUUCUUGCCAGGAAAGAAGCACUGAAUGAAGUCCAGAAUUACUCCUUCCUGGAAAGUGCAAUCAGGUCACCCAGAGAUGUGCCUGGAGGAAAAACAGCUCAGCCCAGAGAUGAUAUUGAACUGCCAAACUGGACAAUGCCAGAACCACCUUUGUUUGCUGACUGGAGGAACAUUGCCCAGAGCCUGGGAUGCAUGGAGAAUCCUGGAAGGAAUCUGCUGAGGAGGAUUACCAAAAGUCUGUGUUGAGGCUGUGGCUUGGUACACCCCUCUCUACUGCAACAGAAGACAAGGAUAGCUGUUGAAAAAGGAAAAAAAACCUUUUUUGAGAACAUUGUCUUACAACUUUCUCAACAAUAGAGCAAAAUGAGGGAUGACAAAAUGAACAGGAAUUUAUAUCAAAUGAUGCAGAGUGGAAGAGGCUGACCCAUGACAAGCCCAAGAAAAGACAAAUCUUCAUUAAAAGGUAUGUGGAAAUAAUGAGUGUUGUCAUCAACAUGAAGGAAGUAGCCAGAAAAAUGUCCUUCAGCUCCCAGCUGGCUGAGUAGGAAAGGUGGAAGGCAGUGAAUCAACCGGGGUGAGCCACUAAAAAGAGCAAGGACCAAGAAGCCCAGUUCCCAGAGGUGGUGAUGGUACCUGAAGGGAAUGGACAGCAGGUGGAAGAUGGUUAAAUCCUUGAGACAGCCCUGAUGUCAUUUUGUCCUCAUUCUUUGUCCAAAAGAUAAGUAGUAAUCUGUGGCUCCAACUCUGGCUGGAAAUUAUGGUGCAGGCUGGACUGAAAACAUGUUUCUGUGUUAUCCCUGUGUCAGUCACCCCCUCCUUUUCUGAUAUGCACAGUAUCAACACAAGGAGGGGAAAAGGAAUUGUUUAGGGUGGGAUGAGGUGUAACCAGGGGCAAUAGGAGGAAACACAGCAAAGCAAUGUCUAGGCUGACUAUCAAGAAAAACAUCCCAACACUGAAGCCUGAAGGGGCUGCUAAAUAUCUCCCAAAGGAAGCAGUGGUAACCUUUAUCAAUGAGUCAUUUCAAACUCUGAAGGACAAAGCCCAAGUGUGGGGAAUGGGUCUGUGCUGGGAGUGCCUGAAGGGUCUUUCCCUUUCCCCCUCCUGAGAGAAACAGAGCCUGAAAACACAGCCAGACUGGUGGUUUCCUAACACAGGCACACAGAGAGAAAAACAACAUCCUUUGAGAUUGGGAGCCUGGGAAGUGUUUUUUAAAUUAGCUUCAAUAACAUGACAGAUGAUAACAAGUUUUUGAGUAAUUUUCUUUCCUUUUUUUUUUUUUUCAGCCACGUGUGUCUGGCCUGGCAGGAUCUUUCUUGUGAAUUAAUGAAACAUCAAGGCUGCACUGCCAGGCAGAUUGGAGUGGUGUGUUUCCAGGAGAGAGCCUGAGCUGGCAGACCCUCAGCUGCUACAAAUCAAUUAAGUCCCUCUGAUUCCAGCAGAGAGGGCCACUGAGUACAGCUGCAGGAUCUGGCCCAUUCCACGCUGGAACAGAAAGACUGCAUUCAUUUUGCCGAGAGCUGGACUAGUUAAAAUUUAAAUGCUGUUAAAUUUUAAAAUCCCAAUUUAAUUUAAAAUUCCCUUUGCAGUUUCUUUUAGUGACAGCAUUGCUCAUUUCUACUGAAAAGCUGAGACCUAACCUUUGGCUGAGACUGCCACAUGAGGGUUUCACUGUCCUGUGGCCAGCAGAUGUGAUGUGUCUUGCCCUCAAAUUUUUUUAUGAGCCCGGUUUCUUGCUUCUCUUGGUCAAAUAACUGUAAUAAGAAUAAUCAUGGAAUCACAGAAUCAUGGAAUCAAAAAUGGGUUGGGUUGGAGGCACCUUAAAGAUUCUCCAGUUCCAACCCCGUGCUACAGGCAGGGACAGCUUCCCCUGGACCAGGCUGCUCACAGCUCCAUCCAGCCUGGCCUAAAUAGCAUCAAAGGUCAGCCAGAACUCCCCAAAUUGCCUGAAUCCCUGGAAAGCAGCAGCAUGCCUUGGUGCUGGCAGGAGAGGAAGCGCAACAGAGAAGGAGUCCCUUGUCUAUGGCACAGCCCUAGUGCCCAGGCAGGCUGCAAAGACUUAAAGUGCUUCUAACAUUCAUGGCCCAGCCCUACAUACACUAUGUGUGCACUGAAGGCUUCAGUUUUGGGAAGAGAGGAUUCUGCCACCUCCCUGGACAGACUUUUGGACACGUUGCAGGGCUGUUGCAAUGCUUGCAUUUGUGGGGAGUGAGUUUGACUGCAGUGUGAAGAGAAGCCCAAUGUCUGAGUGUGCAGACCUGGCUGUGUUUCCCUAUGUCUCACAUUGACAUGUGAGUGUUCUGCCUUAUUAAAAGUUAUUUCAUGGCAUCUGCUCCCCAGUUAGCUGGGCAUCAGUGAAGAAGAAAAUCCUCCUCUCCCUCAGUUCAUGGCUGUGAGGGAAGGGGUUGUCCUGGACAGAGAGCUGCAGAAAAAAGAAAUGGAGAAGAGUUGGGAGUGGGGAAGGAGGCCAGGGGUUAAACCAAGAGGAACAAGGGUUAAAGGGAGCUUGGAGGGGCUGAGGAGGUAUUGUUAGACCUGGGAGAGCUUUGCUUGUGCCCUAGAGGGCAGCACCACAUCCCAGGCAGGUCUCUUCAGUUCACCCCUUGCUUUCUGUAAAGACGUGAGAUUUUGAGCUUCCAACCAGCAACUGGGUUUGUAAUUUGGCAAAGAAACUUGAUAAAAAACAGGCCAACAACCCAAAGCAUGUCAUCACAAAGUGUUACAGCCCAUGCAUUUAGCACCUCGCUGCAAAGGCCAGCUGAGAGCCAACUUUCCAGUGUAAUUUUCCUGCACAUCUGCCAAGCAGCAUGUGGAAAGAGCCAUCUGUGUGUCCUACCAGGGCAUUUCCCAGUCACAGCUUCUAGAGGGUAACUAAAAAACUGCCUGCUGUACAUGCCAUUGCUCAGAAGGUCUAGAGUUUUCACAAAAAUAUGAGUUAAAGCUGAGAGAACAACUGAUGACUCCUGCUGUUCAGUCUGCUCUGUCUGGAUGUGGAGCUAAUCAGACCACUCAGCAAAAUUAACAUCUCCUAAGUACUUCAUAAUCCAAUUUAUAUUUUAAAAAUUUUGCUUUAAAGAAAUAAUAGGAGAAAGAAAGACAGGAAGAAAUAACAGUCUAUCAGGCACUGUUCAUUAAACAUUUUUGCAUCAGGUGAUGUCUUGGGUGACCAAGAUCCUGAUGAUGCUUACAGUGAAAUCUCCAAAUGAGUGAUUGCCCACAGGAACAAGUGAUUAAGGGAAAUGGUGCAUUGCCUAUCCCUGGGAACACUGGUCCGGGCUGAGCUUCUUUUUGGGAUGCAGGCUUUUGCCAGGCACAUCUUGUGCAGCUCAGAAGAAUGUCUGGAGGAAAGUCCAUCUGCAAGAGGCCAGACUACAUGAUCUAAUGGUCCCUUUGGCCUUAGAAGCUUGAGUCACUGAAUUGGAAUCUGUGAAAAAAGUGUCCCCAGCUGUGGGAAUGAACUGGCUCGAUUGCAAAUAGGUCAAUUAAACUCAAACCAACAACCCUCUGGGGUCGUCAUAAAGUCCACAAAUUGGACUGAAAGGCAUGUCUCUAUUGGGAGGCAGUGUGAGUGAGGCUGGAGCUGGACUGGCCAAGUGGAAGGUCCAUCCUGCUCUGGGCAGCCACAGAUGUCCCCUCCAGGUGUUAAGCCAGGAUCCCCUCGGACAUUUGCAGCCCUGGCAGUGAGGCACACACCCCCAGCUGUGGGCAGGACCCUGUUCCGGGUCCUGGUUCUAUUUGCCUUUUGGAGGAAAACUGGCAUCUCUGGAAGUGAAGGCACAGGCAAAGUGAUAAGCCUGCCCUGCUAGUGGCACCACUUAAGUAGGUUUUGAUUACAACACAAGAAGUGUUUCAUUACACAAACCAACUGCUGUUGUGGUAGCAAGAGCAAAUGGAGCUGUGGUCUGGGUAGGUUUCAGCUGGUGAGGCAGUGCAUCUCCACGGGUACCAUGGUGGUGCUGCUCCAAAAGGCUUCAACUUCUGGAGCUCUUUGACAUCAGCAGGAAGCAAAGCAGGGAAAGGGCAGCUACACAAGAGUUGCUCCCCAUUCUCAACCUGCCCUGCUCAGACAGAUUGGCUUUUACUGCUGGGGUGGAGGGUCAGUGCUCAAGAUGCAAAAAUGCACCUCCUUGUUACACCCAGGGAGCACUGAGACACAGGAUUCAAAUCCAGCCACAGCACCACCACCCUUAGGCAUGUGGGACAUCUCUGAGGUCAAGGAGACUCGAGGGUCAGUGCAAGCAGCCAGCUGGCCCUUGGCAGUGGGACUUUGCAGGGCAGCAGGGUGGGAAGGCCCUGUGCUGGAGCAGAUUUUGCCAUCCACCCUCCCUCAGGGCUGUGCCUGUUGGGAGCUGCUCAGUCUUUGGCUGCAUAAGGAGCAAAGUUUGGUGGUUUGGAAGCAGAGGUAGAGGGGCAGUGGGGGUGAGUCUGACAGAGGUUAUGUCACAUUGCCAGAGCAGGGAAAGGUCUGGCCUUCAGCCCUUUACCAAGUCUGGUCUGCAGAGGUGUCUGUCUGAGUUCCUUACGAAUCGAUGUCAUUUCUUGAGGAUGGAGAUCAGAAAUGGCUCAGUCUUGCAAGGAAAAAAAAAAUUAAAAGCCUGGACUCUUUGCCAGCUGAAAUGGGAAAAUCAGGAGAGAGGGAGAAACACAAACUGCCCAUUUUAACUGUUAUUUACACAGAACCCAGCUACACAAUAGGCUGUGAAUGUAUUCCCUGCUUUUCUCUGGCACACAAAUGCAACAAAGCCGUGAAACGUGAGUUAACAUGACAACUGAGACCUGCAGCCUGUGGGUCUCAGCAUUUUCACUCUGUUUUCCCUUCCCUUGCCCUCACAGCACACAAGCCCUGUGAGUGCCCAUCGGGCUCAGACAAAUCCCUGGGGCUGCAACAGGAGCAGAACCCAGAGGUUCCACCAGCAGCAUCAGCAGCUGCCAUUCACUCUCAUUUAUGGCCCAGCUCUUCUUGUGAAUGGCAGAGUCUUCUCACUGAAGGCCAAAUACCAAGGGAGCUCUGGAUGUGUUUAAACAAAGCUAAGCUUAAUUAGAGCUGCUCAGAAAUUAAAUGCAGGAGCAGAGUGUAUUCAUGUUUGCACUCAGGAAUAUGUAAGGCUCUCGGGCAGAUCUAGGUCACCUCAGCUCAAGCAGAAUUACUGGGGAGCUCAGCGUGUGGGCAAACAUUGUUCUGCCUGUUCAGUGGGAAAGGGGUAACUCCUACAGGAGCUGCAAUUCCCCCACUCACAGCUCUGGCCUUCGAAGCUGGAUGAGGCACAGCCAAUGCCAAGAACUCAGAAACCUCGAGCUAUUGUUCAUAUAACAGAUUCUGGCUCCUUUUGCCUUUUGGCUUGUCUUCUCUUUCUCUCUCUUCUUAUGUGUGUCUCCUUUACAGCUACCACAAUGCAUUUUCCUGCACAGUCAUGAGAUGCAGAAUCUCUUUCUUUUCUCUCAUUAAAGCUGGGAGUCUGUUAUAAUCAUAUGACUCACAGUGCCAUAGGUCUAA
This is a non-coding RNA of Zonotrichia albicollis (white-throated sparrow), 5650 nucleotides long. Lineage: Eukaryota; Metazoa; Chordata; Aves; Passeriformes; Passerellidae. The record is from RefSeq and is a predicted model, not a curated record.